GACGCUGGCGGCGUGCCUAACACAUGCAAGUCGAACGGGGUAAAGACUUCGGUUUUUACUUAGUGGCGAACGGGUGAGUAACGCGUGAGAAACCUGCCUUUCAGUGGGGGACAACAGUUGGAAACGACUGCUAAUACCGCAUAAUGUUAUUUGGGGGCAUCCCUGAAUAACCAAAGAUUUAUUGCUGAAAGAUGGUCUCGCGUCUGAUUAGCUAGUUGGUGAGGUAACGGCUCACCAAGGCGACGAUCAGUAGCCGGUCUGAGAGGAUGAACGGCCACAUUGGGACUGAGAUACGGCCCAGACUCCUACGGGAGGCAGCAGUGGGGAAUAUUGGGCAAUGGGCGAAAGCCUGACCCAGCAACGCCGCGUGAAGGAAGAAGGCCUUCGGGUUGUAAACUUCUUUUACCAGGGACGAACAAAUGACGGUACCUGGAGAAAAAGCAACGGCUAACUACGUG
Molecule: ribosomal RNA, 458 nt
Filed under: uncultured bacterium
Lineage: Bacteria
Description: bacterial SSU rRNA
Rfam family: Bacterial small subunit ribosomal RNA
Source: RNAcentral